GCUGGGUGUGGUGGUGCGUACCUGUAAUCCCAGCUACUUAGGAGGCUGAGGCAGGAGAAUUGCUUGAACCCAGGAGGCGGAGGUUGCAAUGAGCAAGAUCAUGCCACUGCACUUCAGCCUGGGCAACAGAGUGAGACUCUGUCUCAA
This is a non-coding RNA of Homo sapiens (human), 147 nucleotides long. It matches the Rfam family "Metazoan signal recognition particle RNA". Rfam says of the family: The signal recognition particle (SRP) is a universally conserved ribonucleoprotein. It is involved in the co-translational targeting of proteins to membranes. The record is from Rfam. NCBI's taxonomy places the organism in Eukaryota, Metazoa, Chordata, Mammalia, Primates, Hominidae.